Molecule: long non-coding RNA, 590 nt
Organism: Kogia breviceps (pygmy sperm whale)
Lineage: Eukaryota; Metazoa; Chordata; Mammalia; Artiodactyla; Physeteridae
Source: RefSeq, a predicted model, not a curated record
UUGGGAGUGCUGGGGUGAGGGGACGGUACUUCCAGGUUCGGGAGAUCCCGACUCCACCCCACCAUAGGCCACGCUUCUAUCCCUCCUUGGGCCGCACCCACGGCCCGGGUGGCUUCGCUGACUCCACCCUAGGCCACGCCUCCUAUCUGGCUCCGCCGGGAGCCAACCUGUAUCCGGUCCCAAAGGUCCAGGACUGAGACUAGGUGUGCCUCAUUCAGAACUGAAUCCUUAGGACCCAGCAUGGUGCCUGGCACAUACUACUGGACUUCCCUGGUGGUGCAGUGGUUAAGAAUCCGCCUACCAAUGCAGGGCACACAGGUUCGACCCCUCAUCUGGGAAGAUCCCACAUGCCGCGGAGCAACUAAGCCUGUGUGCCACAGCUACUGAGCCUGUGCUCUGGAGCCUGGGAGCCACAACUACUGAGCCCACGUGCCACAACUGCUGAAGCCCACGCGCCUAGAGCCUGGGCUCCGCAACAAGAGAAGCCACCACAAUGAGAAGCCUGCGCACCUCAACGAAGAGUAGCCCCUGCUCUCUGCAACUAGAGAAAGCCCGCGUGCAGCAACGAAGACCCAAAGCAGCCAAAACUA